Molecule: ribosomal RNA, 395 nt
Filed under: uncultured bacterium
Lineage: Bacteria
Description: partial 16S ribosomal RNA
Rfam family: Bacterial small subunit ribosomal RNA
Source: RNAcentral
AUACGUAGGGUGCAAGCGUUAAUCGGAAUUACUGGGCGUAAAGCGUGCGCAGGCGGUUUUGUAAGACAGAGGUGAAAUCCCCGGGCUCAAACUGGGAACUGCCUUUUUGACUGCAAGGCUAGAGUACGGCAGAGGGGGGUGGAAUUCCGCGGGUAGCAGUGAAAUGCGUAGAUAUGCGGAGGAACACCGAUGGCGAAGGCAAUCCCCUGGGCCUGUACUGACGCUCAUGCACGAAAGCGUGGGGAGCAAACAGGAUUAGAUACCCUGGUAGUCCACGCCCUAAACGAUGUCAACUGGUUGUUGGGUCUUCAUUGACUCAGUAACGAAGCUAACGCGUGAAGUUGACCGCCUGGGGAGUACGGCCGCAAGGUUGAAACUCAAAUGAAUUGACGGGG